AGCGAACGCUGGCGGCAGGCCUAACACAUGCAAGUCGAACGAAAUCUUCGGGCUUAGGGGCGGUCGUGGGAGUAACACGGGGGAACGAGCCCGUAGGUUCGGUAUCAUUCAGGUAGACUUAAGCUAAUGCCGGUUGGGCUCUUCGGGGGUAAGAUCUCUUGCUUUUUGAGCGGCGCGCGUCUGAUUCGCCGGUUGGGGAGGUAAAGGCUCCUCAUGGGGACGUUCAGUAGCUGGUGUGUGAGGAUGACCAUCCACAUUGGGACUGCGACACGGCCCAAACUCCUACGGGACGCAGCGGUAGGGAGUCUUGCGCACUGGGCGAAAGCCUGGCGAAGCCGUGCCGCGUGAAUGAUGAAUGUCUUAGGAUUGUAAAAUUCUUUGACCGGAGGCGAUAAUGACGGUACCCGGAGAAGAAGCACCGGCUAACUUCGUG
Molecule: ribosomal RNA, 433 nt
Filed under: uncultured bacterium
Lineage: Bacteria
Description: partial 16S ribosomal RNA
Rfam family: Bacterial small subunit ribosomal RNA
Source: RNAcentral